CGGGGUGUAGCUCAGCCUGGUAGAGUGCUUCGUUCGGGACGAAGAAGUCGUAGGUUCAAAUCCUGUCACCCCGACCA
This 77-nucleotide transfer RNA is filed under the name Rickettsiales bacterium. Its description in RNAcentral is "tRNA-Pro". It matches the Rfam family "tRNA". Rfam says of the family: Transfer RNA (tRNA) molecules are approximately 80 nucleotides in length. Their secondary structure includes four short double-helical elements and three loops (D, anti-codon, and T loops). Lineage: Bacteria; Pseudomonadati; Pseudomonadota; Alphaproteobacteria; Rickettsiales. The record is from RNAcentral.